UGGCGGCGUGCUUAACACGAUGCAAGGUCGAACGGGGAUUAAGUUGGAAAGGCUUCGGCCCGGAAGACAUAAUUCGAGUGGCGGACGGGUGAGUAACGCGUGAGCAACCUGUCCCAGACAGGGGGAUAACACUUGGAAACAGGUGCUAAUACCGCAUAAGACCACGGCAUCACAUGGUGCAGAGGUAAAAGGAGCAAUCCGGUUUGGGGUGGGCUCGCGUCCGAUUAGAUAGUUGGUGAGGUAACGGCCCACCCAAGUCAACGAUCGGUAGCCGACCUGAGAGGGUGAUCGGCCACAUUGGAACUGAGAGACGGUCCAAACUCCUACGGGAGGCAGCAGUGGGGAAUAUUGGGCAAUGGGCGAAAGCCUGGCCCAGCAACGCCGCGUGAGUGAAGAAGGCCUUCGGGUUGUAAAGCUCUGUUAUGUGGGACGAAGGGAGUGACGGUACCACAUAAGGAAGCCCCGGCUAACUACGUGCCAGCCGCCGC
This 488-nucleotide ribosomal RNA is filed under the name uncultured bacterium. Its description in RNAcentral is "bacterial SSU rRNA". It matches the Rfam family "Bacterial small subunit ribosomal RNA", at positions 37 to 518 of the family's 1533-position model. The record is from RNAcentral.